RNAcentral lists this ribosomal RNA (292 nucleotides) under uncultured prokaryote. Its description in RNAcentral is "partial 16S ribosomal RNA". It matches the Rfam family "Archaeal small subunit ribosomal RNA", at positions 455 to 746 of the family's 1478-position model. The record is from RNAcentral.
GUGCCAGCCGCCGCGGUAAUAGCCGCACCCCAAGUGGUAUCCAGUAUUAUUGGGUUUAAAGUGUUCGUAGCCGGCUGUGUAAGUCUGCUGUGAAAUCCACGCGCUCAACGUGUGGACAUGCAGCAGAUACUGCACAGCUAGGGACCGGACGGCGUUGAGGCUAUUCCAGGGGUAGGAGUGAAAUCCUAAAAUCCCUGGAGGAGCGCCAGUGGCGAAAGCGCUCAACGAGUACGGAUCCGACGGUGAGGAACGAAAGCUAGAGGAGCAAAGCGGAUUAGAAACCCUAGUAGUC